This 75-nucleotide transfer RNA is filed under the name Acidobacteriota bacterium. RNAcentral describes it as "Acidobacteria bacterium tRNA-Arg". It matches the Rfam family "tRNA". From Rfam's summary of the family: Transfer RNA (tRNA) molecules are approximately 80 nucleotides in length. Their secondary structure includes four short double-helical elements and three loops (D, anti-codon, and T loops). Further hydrogen bonds mediate the characteristic L-shaped molecular structure. tRNAs have two regions of fundamental functional importance: the anti-codon, which is responsible for specific mRNA codon recognition, and the 3' end, to which the tRNAs corresponding amino acid is attached (by aminoacyl-tRNA synthetases). tRNAs cope with the degeneracy of the genetic code in two manners: having more than one tRNA (with a specific anti-codon) for a particular amino acid; and 'wobble' base-pairing, i.e. permitting non-standard base-pairing at the 3rd anti-codon position. The record is from RNAcentral. Lineage: Bacteria; Pseudomonadati; Acidobacteriota. RNAcentral also lists the same sequence under 1 other name.
GGCCUGUUAGCUCAAGGGAGAGAGCACGCGGUUGCGGACCGCAGGAUCCAGGUUCGACUCCUGGGCGGGCUUCCA